RNAcentral lists this small RNA (990 nucleotides) under Pan troglodytes (chimpanzee). RNAcentral's name for it is "retained intron". Lineage: Eukaryota; Metazoa; Chordata; Mammalia; Primates; Hominidae. The record is from RNAcentral.
AGACAACAGACACGCGAGGUCAGGAAGAAGCCGCUUAUAAAUUACCGCUUCCUUCGCGCCGCCGCCAACGCCGAGCCCCGAGGACCGCAAGCCCAGAGGACAAGCUGCGCCAAGAGGGAGUGCGGAGCGUUCACCCAGCGGGUCAGAGAGCGAGCGGGCAGGCAGCCCCCGGCCGGCGGAACCCGGCACAGCCGAGCAGAGCGCGGGCGGCGCCGCAGCCACCCCAGAUCCAGAACCAGAACCACAGCCCUUCUGAGGAGCUCCCAAACAAAGCAAGGAGAUGGCCACCAAGGAGAAGCUGCAGUGUCUGAAAGAUUUCCACAAGGACAUCCUGAAGCCCUCACCAGGGAAGAGCCCAGGCACGCGGCCUGAGGACGAGGCUGAGGGAAAACCUCCGCAGAGGGAGAAGUGGUCUAGCAAGAUCGACUUUGUGCUCUCUGUGGCUGGCGGCUUCGUGGGCUUGGGCAACGUCUGGCGCUUCCCGUACCUCUGCUACAAGAAUGGUGGAGGUGAGCUUGGGCCGGGCCACAGGGGAGCCCAUCCAGUACAAAGCGGCCUUAGAGCUGGAGGCUGGGACCAGAGCGUGGGUGGCCUCUCUUUCCCUGCUUUCCCUGGCCCCCCCUUGACCUCCAUGAGGUCAGCCUGCCAUGCUCCUGCCAACCCCACCCUUAGAGACAGGGGAUAAGCCCGACUGAGAAUCAGAGUGCUGUUCUGCAGGGCCUUUCUGUGUUACCUUGAGCAGGUCCCUCAGCCUCUCUGGUCUUCCAGUUUGCCACCUCCAAACAGGCAGGACAAGGCCAGGCUUGUGUCUCCCAAGCCCCAGACAUUCACACACCUCCUUAUCUGUCCCCCAUGUCUACUUGCCUCUGACUGUUUCUUUAUCUUUCCUUUAAUAUUCAUGUUUGCUUUUCUAACUUUACCAAAUGUACUCCAGAAAGCAAAUUCUGUUACCCGCUAUAGAUGGAAAACUGGUAUCAUUUGUCAUGCUCC